GACAAAGUCCUGUAUCUUUUCAAGCUUUCCAGAUCCUCUCUUUCAAGAGGCCAAAUGUUCCAUACCACUCCCUUUGAAGCCACAAGAAACUACAGACUGUUCCCAUAUCUAAGUGUGUCUGCCAGUGUGGCUGAAGUUACCCCACCCUAGACAAAGGAAUGUGGUGCAGCUACCUUGAAGAUACUUCCAAGGUUCAUUAAGAGACAAUGGGAAUAUAUUUACAUAAAAGGUAAACUAAGCCAUCAAGCUGAUUAGGGGAGGAGAUAACGAAUCAGCAUCACAGCACGGGGAGGAGAUUGCAGGAACAGGUCAAUUUGCCUUUUAGCAAACAC
Mauremys mutica (yellowpond turtle) is the source of this 332-nucleotide long non-coding RNA. RefSeq lists it as uncharacterized. NCBI's taxonomy places the organism in Eukaryota, Metazoa, Chordata, Testudines, Geoemydidae. The record is from RefSeq and is a predicted model, not a curated record. The transcript is spliced from 3 exons.